AUGGCGGCCUCCCCGUGGGCGCUCAUCCUCCUCCUGGCCGCGGCCUUCGCCGCAGGGACCGGCGCGACGACCUUCUCCAUCACGAACCGCUGCUCCUACGCAGUUUGGCUGGCGGCCAUCCCGGUGGGCGGCGGCAGGCGGCUCAACAGCGGUGACACGUGGAACCUCGAGGUCCCCGGCGGCACCAGCGCCGCCCGGAUCUGGGGCCGCACAGGCUGCAACUUCAACGGCGAUAGAGGGAGCUGCGCCACCGGCGACUGCGCUGGCGCGUUGCACUGUGGCCUGUCUGGCCGCCCGCCGGCGACACUUGCGGAGUUCAGCCUCGGCUCGCAGGACUACUACGACAUUUCGGUGAUCGACGGGUAUAACGUCCCCAUGGACUUCUCCUGCAGCACCGGCGUGGCGCUCCGGUGCCGGGACGCCGGCUGCUAUGAUGCGUACCAUCAGCCCAACGACAUCAGGACCAAAUCUUGCGGCGGUGGCAACAGGAGCUUCCGUGUUGUCUUCUGCCCAUGA
This 516-nucleotide ribosomal RNA is filed under the name Triticum aestivum (bread wheat). RNAcentral describes it as "partial small subunit ribosomal RNA". Lineage: Eukaryota; Viridiplantae; Streptophyta; Magnoliopsida; Poales; Poaceae. The record is from RNAcentral.